CCCGAGUAAAGGAAAUAAUAACUACAGAUACCAACAAUUAAAAUUCAAUUCCAUAUCUUUGGUGCAUCAAACAUGGUAAAGAAAUUGGAUUCAAUACAAGAAAGGGAUAACAGCUUUUCUACCCUUGGGAUAAUCUUCUCCAAACUUGUCCAGAUACCAGUUAUGGUUAGCAAGAGCCCUAGGCAUCAGGUUGGCACACGUGUAGAGAAAAAAACCAAACCCAACCCAGGACCAUGUCAUCACACUCCACCCAAGCCA
This 258-nucleotide unclassified non-coding RNA is filed under the name Hevea brasiliensis (rubber tree). Lineage: Eukaryota; Viridiplantae; Streptophyta; Magnoliopsida; Malpighiales; Euphorbiaceae. The record is from RNAcentral.